GAUCCUGGCUCAGGAUGAACGCUGGCGGCGUGCCUAAUACAUGCAAGUCGAGCGAACAGACAAGGAGCUUGCUCCUUUGACGUUAGCGGCGGACGGGUGAGUAACACGUGGGUAACCUACCUAUAAGACUGGGAUAACUUCGGGAAACCGGAGCUAAUACCGGAUAAUAUUUCGAACCGCAUGGUUCGAUAGUGAAAGAUGGUUUUGCUAUCACUUAUAGAUGGACCCGCGCCGUAUUAGCUAGUUGGUAAGGUAACGGCUUACCAAGGCGACGAUACGUAGCCGACCUGAGAGGGUGAUCGGCCACACUGGAACUGAGACACGGUCCAGACUCCUACGGGAGGCAGCAGUAGGGAAUCUUCCGCAAUGGGCGAAAGCCUGACGGAGCAACGCCGCGUGAGUGAUGAAGGUCUUCGGAUCGUAAAACUCUGUUAUUAGGGAAGAACAUACGUGUAAGUAACUAUUGCAC
Molecule: ribosomal RNA, 469 nt
Filed under: Staphylococcus haemolyticus
Lineage: Bacteria; Bacillati; Bacillota; Bacilli; Caryophanales; Staphylococcaceae
Description: bacterial SSU rRNA
Rfam family: Bacterial small subunit ribosomal RNA
Source: RNAcentral